CGGCAGCGGACCUUCGGGUAGCCGGCGAGUGGCGAACGGGUGAGUAAUACAUCGGAACGUACCCAGUAGCGGGGGAUAGCCCGGCGAAAGCCGGAUUAAUACCGCAUACGCCCUACGGGGGAAAGGGGGGGAUCUUCGGACCUCUCACUAUUGGAGCGGCCGAUGGCUGAUUAGCUAGUUGGUGGGGUAAAGGCCUACCAAGGCGACGAUCAGUAGCUGGUCUGAGAGGACGACCAGCCACACUGGGACUGAGACACGGCCCAGACUCCUACGGGAGGCAGCAGUGGGGAAUUUUGGACAAUGGGCGAAAGCCUGAUCCAGCAAUGCCGCGUGUGCGAAGAAGGCCUUCGGGUUGUAAAGCACUUUUGUCAGGAAAGAAAGGGUCUGGGCUAAUACCCCGGGCCAUUGACGGUACCUGAAGAAUAAGCACCGGCUAACUACGUGCCAGCAGCCGCGGUAAUACGUAGGGUGCAAGCGUUAAUCGGAAUUACUGGGCGUAAAGCGUGCGCAGGUGGUUUGUUAAGACAGUUGUGAAAUCCCCGGGCUCAACCUGGGAACUGCAAUUGUGACUGGCAGACUAGAGUUUGGCAGAGGGGGGUGGAAUUCCUGGUGUAGCAGUGAAAUGCGUAGAUAUCAGGAGGAACACCGAUGGCGAAGGCAGCCCCCUGGGCCAUGACUGACACUCAUGCACGAAAGCGU
Molecule: ribosomal RNA, 699 nt
Filed under: uncultured bacterium
Lineage: Bacteria
Description: bacterial SSU rRNA
Rfam family: Bacterial small subunit ribosomal RNA
Source: RNAcentral